RNAcentral lists this ribosomal RNA (385 nucleotides) under uncultured eukaryote. RNAcentral's name for it is "partial 18S ribosomal RNA". It matches the Rfam family "Eukaryotic small subunit ribosomal RNA", at positions 592 to 976 of the family's 1831-position model. The record is from RNAcentral.
CAAUAGCGUAUAUUAAAGUUGUUGCAGUUAAAAAGCUCGUAGUUGGAUUUCUGUUAAAAGCAAGUAGCCCACUCUUUGAGUGUUGUGUUUACGUCGUUUUUGACAUUUUUCUGUUUUUCGGUUGGUGUUCUUUAUUGAGUAUUCAAUCCGUGAACAGAACAUUUACUUUGAGAAAAUUAGAGUGUUCUAGGCAGGCUAUCGCCCUGAAUACUGCAGCAUGGAAUAAUAAUAUAGGAUUUCAAUUCUAUUUUAUUGGUUCUAAGGAUUGAAAUAAUGAUUAAUAGGGACAGUUGGGGGCAUUCGUAUUUAACUGUCAGAGGUGAAAUUCUUAGAUUUGUUAAAGACGAACUACUGCGAAAGCAUUUGCCAAGGAUGUUUUCAUUAA